AAGCCUGGCAUGCUGCAGUCCAUGAGGUCACAAAAAGGACAUGACUGAGUGACUGAACUGACUGAGGGGCACGGUCCCCAAGGCUGUGUCCCUUACACCCACAUGACGCUCACUCCAGGCUAACUAGCCUCAGCCCCUGGGACGUCUAAGCUCCACAUCCAUGUGCCGAUGUCCUAAACUGGCCAGAAAAAGGGGCUCCAGGGAGGAUUCCCCCACCCCUUAUUCAGAAAGGAGACAGAUGCCAAGAGGACUUCCUCUUCAAGCUGUUAUCCUCAGAAAUCAUCCUUGAGGGAUGGCGGGAGGAAGGCGCGAGACCGAUCAUCUCAUGAAAAGCAUUCUGAUUUUUCCAUCCGUUGGUGCCAAAAUGUCUUUCAACAAAGGGGGUGACUAAUAGA
Long non-coding RNA from Odocoileus virginianus texanus, 395 nucleotides. RefSeq lists it as uncharacterized. The record is from RefSeq and is a predicted model, not a curated record. Lineage: Eukaryota; Metazoa; Chordata; Mammalia; Artiodactyla; Cervidae.